Molecule: ribosomal RNA, 1284 nt
Filed under: metagenome
Description: SSU rRNA
Rfam family: Eukaryotic small subunit ribosomal RNA
Source: RNAcentral
AUACCAAUACAAUGCCAAUGGUGUUGUGUUUGGAAUGAGAGUAAUCUAAACAUUUACUCGAGGAACAAUUGGAGGGCAAGUCUGGUGCCAGCAGCCGCGGUAAUUCCAGCUCCAAUAGUGUAUAUUAAAGUUGUUGCAGUUAAAAAGCUCGUAGUUGGAUGUCGGUAACUAUCAUAAGUGUCCACACUCAAUGUGUGCGUACACGAAUGUAGUACCUUCUUUCUGGUAGUAAUUUUAUAUUGCUCCAGAUAUUUUACUUUGAGAAAAUUAGAGUGUUCAAAGCAGGCGUAACUUUGCCUUUGAAUAUAUUAGCAUGGGAUAAUGAAAUAAGACUUUUGCCUUAUUCUCGUUGGUUCUUUAGGCUUAAGUAAUGAUUAAUAGGGACAGUUGGGGUUAUCUGUAUUUGAUCGCCAGAGGUGAAAUUCUAAGACUGAUCAAAGACAAACUACUGCGAAAGCAUUUAACAAGGAUGUUUUCAUUAAUCAAGAACGAAAGUUGGGGGAUCGAAGAUGAUCAGAUACCGUCGUAGUCCCAACCAUAAACUAUGUCGACCAAGGAUUCGAAAGCGUUACAUGAAUGACCUCUCGGGCACUUAUAGAGAAAUCAUAAGUAUUUGGAUUCCGGGGGGAGUAUGGUCGCAAGGCUGAAACUUAAAGAAAUUGACGGAAGGGCACCACAAUGAGUGGAAUAUGCGGUUUAAUUUGACCCAACACGGGAAAACUUACCAGGUCCAGACACAAGGAGGAUUGACAGAUUGAGAGCUCUUUCUUAAUUUUGUGGGUGGUGGUGCAUGGCCGUUUCUAGUUGGUGGAGUGAUUUGUCUGUUAAUUCCGUUAACGAACGAGACCUUAACCUAUUAAACAGUAACAUCUACUUGGAUAAUUUACUUCCAAUAGUAGGUGGUUUACUUCUUAGAGGUACUCUUCACGUAAAGAGUGAAUGGAAGUUUGAGGCAAAAACAGGUCUGUGAUGCCCUUAGAUGUUCUGGGCUACACGCGUGUUACACUGAUACAUUCAACAAGUAUAAUAUUCCUUGCUCUAGUGAGUCGGGUAAUCUUUUAAAUAUGUAUCGUGAUGGGGAUAGAGCAUUGUAAUUCUUGCUCUUGAACGAGGAAUUCCUAGUAAGUGCAAGUCAUUAACUUGCGCUGAUUACGUCCCUGCCCUUUGUACACACCGCCCGUCGCUCCUACCGAUGAAUGGUCCGGUGAGGAUUCGGGAUGACCUUUGAUGCUGAUUUAAUCACAUCACUGAUUGUCAGAACUUAUUCAAACCUUAUCAUUUAAA